UAUUGAAAAUAAAUUCAAAUAAAUAAAAAAUUAAAAUCUAAACUAGUAAAUCAAACUAAAUAAUGCACACCUUAUACUUUUUUACUCUCGUCCGGAUUCAUUUGAUUAUGGAUCCAAAUAUUUUUUAUUAAUUAUAUUUUAGAUUAAGAAGCCAAAUUCCUUCAAAAUUUUAAUAUGGUUCGAUUCGGAGUGUCUAUUGCCCCCAACUUUAGGAUUUGCUCAAUUUUCUCUUCACAUUGG
Molecule: unclassified non-coding RNA, 240 nt
Filed under: Hevea brasiliensis (rubber tree)
Lineage: Eukaryota; Viridiplantae; Streptophyta; Magnoliopsida; Malpighiales; Euphorbiaceae
Source: RNAcentral